GACGGAGGGGGAGUCCGGGUGUCCCGGGGCCUGGCUCUGCUGGGGGAGCUGCUGGUGAUGCGUGCUGGCCCCCAACAAAGGAUUCAUGCUAUGGAUAAAACUACGCCGUACAGCGGAGGGUAGCCUGCAGAAACAGCGCAAAGCACAACUCUUUAACCUGAUUAUGUAAGCGCUUAUAAAUAAAAGCCUGAUCCUUACAGCCCGGAGGUCUUAACGUCGGCUGUUGCUGCUGCUGCUGCUGCUGGAUCCCUGAUCCCUGACGAUCCACAACAAAGGCAAAAAAUGGAGCCGGAACCAGAAGAGGUGGACACCAAAGAGAUGUUAUGCAAAACAAAAUAAAAAAAACCAUAAAUUAAAUGAAUGGGGAAACGACGCAGAGGAGGAAUGAACACCAAACAAAUCCAGCUUCUCCUCGUUAAUGGAGCUCAGAUUGGAAGAUGCGACCGCAGGGCAGGCUGGAGCAAGCGCUGCGGGAUUGGAGGAUCCUCCUACCGUAAACACACUAAUAGAGGAGCGCACAAAUCCCCAAUGCUCAGCGCGGUUCAGUAUUUCUACCAUUUGCUCAAUGUUUUUGACGCGUUACAAGAACAAACGUCAAUGUAUUUUUGUUUUAAUUUGUUUAAAGCCUUAUUAAAAAUAAAACAUUCUGUGUUUGCAUUCACAGAAUUUGUUAAUCUGAAUCCCAUAAACAAAAUCCGGUGCAACUACUUGCUUUCAGAUUAUGAAUAAAGUUGUUUCAGUGAAAACUG
This is a long non-coding RNA of Fundulus heteroclitus (mummichog), 749 nucleotides long. RefSeq lists it as uncharacterized. The transcript has 2 exons. NCBI's taxonomy places the organism in Eukaryota, Metazoa, Chordata, Actinopteri, Cyprinodontiformes, Fundulidae. The record is from RefSeq and is a predicted model, not a curated record.